UACGGCCAUAUAAUGUUCAAACACCGGCUCCCGUACGAUCAGCGAAGUUAGCAACGUCGAGCCUGGUCAGUACCUUGAUGGGUGACGGCUUGGGUAUACAAGGUGCUAUAA
Molecule: non-coding RNA, 111 nt
Organism: Acanthosepion pharaonis
Lineage: Eukaryota; Metazoa; Mollusca; Cephalopoda; Sepiida; Sepiidae
Source: the annotation of a GenBank genome assembly